This 274-nucleotide ribosomal RNA is filed under the name uncultured bacterium. Its description in RNAcentral is "partial 16S ribosomal RNA". It matches the Rfam family "Bacterial small subunit ribosomal RNA", at positions 523 to 796 of the family's 1533-position model. The record is from RNAcentral.
AUACGUAGGUCCCGAACGUUGCGCGAAAUUACUGGGCGUAAAGGGUCCGUAGGCGGUCUGGUAAGUGGAAGGUGAAAGCCUGGGGCUCAACUCCAGAAUUGCCUUCCAAACUGCCGGACUUGAGGCAGGGAGAGGUCGGCGGAAUUCCCGGUGUAGCGGUGAGAUGCGUAGAUAUCCGGAGGAACACCAGUGGCGAAGGCGGCCGACUGGAACUGUCCUGACGCUGAGGGACGAAAGCCAGGGGAGCGAACCGGAUUAGAAACCCUAGUAGUCC